AGAGUUUGAUCCUGGCUCAGGAUGAACGCUGGCGGCGUGCCUAAUACAUGCAAGUCGAGCGAACAGACGAGGAGCUUGCUCCUCUGACGUUAGCGGCGGACGGGUGAGUAACACGUGGAUAACCUACCUAUAAGACUGGGAUAACUUCGGGAAACCGGAGCUAAUACCGGAUAAUAUAUUGAACCGCGUGGUUCAAUAGUGAAAGACGGUUUUGCUGUCACUUAUAGAUGGAUCCGCGCCGCAUUAGCUAGUUGGUAAGGUAACGGCUUACCAAGGCAACGAUGCGUAGCCGACCUGAGAGGGUGAUCGGCCACACUGGAACUGAGACACGGUCCAUACUCCUACGGGAGGCACCACUAGGGAAUCUUCCGCAAUGGGCGAAAGCCUGACGGAGCAACGCCGCGUGAGUGAUGAAGGUCUUCGGAUCGUAAAACUCUGUUAUUAGGGAAGAACAAAUGUGUAAGUAACUAUGCACGUCUUGACGGUACCUAAUCAGAAAGCCACGGCUAACUACGUGCCAGCACCCGCGGUAAUACGUAGGUGGCAAGCGUUAUCCGGAAUUAUUGGGCGUAAAGCGCGCGUAGGCGGUUUUUUAAGUCUGAUGUGAAAGCCCACGGCUCACCCGUGGAGGGUCAUUGGAAACUGGAAAACUUGAGUGCAGAAGAGGAAAGUGGAAUUCCAUGUGUAGCGGUGAAAUGCGCAGAGAUAUGGAGGAACACCACUGGCGAAGGCGACUUUCUGGUCUGUAACUGACGCUGAUGUGCGAAAGCGUGGGGAUCAAACAGGAUUAGAUACCCUGGUAGUCCACGCCGUAAACG
This 818-nucleotide ribosomal RNA is filed under the name uncultured bacterium. RNAcentral describes it as "bacterial SSU rRNA". It matches the Rfam family "Bacterial small subunit ribosomal RNA", at positions 8 to 808 of the family's 1533-position model. The record is from RNAcentral.